RNAcentral lists this ribosomal RNA (253 nucleotides) under uncultured bacterium. Its description in RNAcentral is "partial 16S ribosomal RNA". It matches the Rfam family "Bacterial small subunit ribosomal RNA", at positions 524 to 776 of the family's 1533-position model. The record is from RNAcentral.
UACGAAGGGGGCUAGCGUUGUUCGGAAUUACUGGGCGUAAAGCGCACGCAGGUGGCUGAGUCAGUCGAUUGUGAAAGCCCUGGGCUUAACCUGGGAAUUGCAGUCGAUACUACUCAGCUAGAGUAUGGGAGAGGGCAGUGGAAUUCCCGGUGUAGCGGUGAAAUGCGUAGAUAUCGGGAGGAACAUCAGUGGCGAAGGCGGCUGCCUGGCCCAAUACUGACACUCAGGUGCGACAGCGUGGGGAGCAAACAGG